GCCUGGAUAGCUGAGUUGGUUAGAGUGUGGUGCGCCAUGGUUGCAGGUUUAAUCCCUGUAUGGGGCA
Molecule: non-coding RNA, 67 nt
Organism: Podarcis lilfordi (Lilford's wall lizard)
Lineage: Eukaryota; Metazoa; Chordata; Lepidosauria; Squamata; Lacertidae
Source: the annotation of a GenBank genome assembly